GCGGUGGAGCACGUGGUUUAAUUCGAUGCAAACCGAAGAACCUUACCUGGGUUUGACAUGCAGGUGGUAGAGAGAAGAGAUUUAAUCGACUCUGCAGUAAUGCAGAGAGCCUGCACAGGUGCUGCAUGGCUGUCGUCAGCUCGUGUCGUGAGGUGUCGGGUUAAGUCCCAUAACGAGCGCAACCCCUAUCAUUAGUUGCCAUCAGGUCAAGCUGGGGACUCUAAUGAAACUGCCUACGCAAGUAGUGAGGAAGGUGGGGAUGACGUCAAAUCAGCACGGCCCUUACGUCCAGGGCUACACACGUGCUACAAUGGCCGGUACAAAGGGCAGCUACCUGGUGACAGGAUGCUAAUCUCAAAAGCCGGUCUCAGUUCGGAUCGGAGUCUGCAACCCGACUCCGUGAAGCUGGAAUCGCUAGUAAUCGUGAAUCAGAAUGUCACGGUGAAUACGUUCCCGGGCCUU
This 462-nucleotide ribosomal RNA is filed under the name uncultured Sphingobacteriales bacterium. RNAcentral's name for it is "bacterial SSU rRNA". It matches the Rfam family "Bacterial small subunit ribosomal RNA", at positions 929 to 1382 of the family's 1533-position model. Lineage: Bacteria; Pseudomonadati; Bacteroidota; Sphingobacteriia; Sphingobacteriales. The record is from RNAcentral.